This 428-nucleotide long non-coding RNA is filed under the name Homo sapiens (human). Its description in RNAcentral is "HSALNT0403688". Lineage: Eukaryota; Metazoa; Chordata; Mammalia; Primates; Hominidae. The record is from RNAcentral.
UCAAAAAAAAAAAAAAAAAAAAAAAUGCAGAUUCCUGGGUCCCACCCCCAAAAGAUGCUAAUUUUGUAGAUCUGAGUAGGACCUAAGGGUCUGCAUUUUUAAUACUGAAGCAUGUGGUCUUCAAGCUUAUGGCAUGUAGUAGGGACAGGACGAAAAAUGAAACUGGAGAAUGAAAUGAAACCGAGUCAGUAUGAGAAGGGCCUCAUGCACAGCACCUGGAGUUUGGACUUCAUCCCGUGGUCUGCAAUAAAGUUAGCAUUAACAUUAUUAGCUGCCAGGCCAACAAAACCUUGAGUAAUCCUGCAAUACUCGGAAUCAAGAAAAGUGGCUACAUCAUGGUCAACUUUGAAGAACAUCAGCCUCAAGAUCUUUUAUACUAACUCAUAUGUUUAUUAAAAUCUAUUACUAAAACAGAUUUUUAAAAAUUA